Molecule: long non-coding RNA, 933 nt
Organism: Lonchura striata (white-rumped munia)
Lineage: Eukaryota; Metazoa; Chordata; Aves; Passeriformes; Estrildidae
Source: RefSeq, a predicted model, not a curated record
CAGGGGAGGGUCACUACAGAUGUUGUCCAUCAAUCCUUGGGAGUUGUGUUUGAGAUCCUGUCCUUGGCAAGAAGCAGAGCAAAGAAAGGGACCCUGAGGAGUGAGCAGUGCCUCAGGCAGGUAGCAGAGCUUGAAACGAAGAAUGCACAGCUGAUGGAUGAAGUCACCCUUCCCCUUCAAUGCGAGAUCCAUCUGCCCAAAGAUAGACUUCCCUUGCACAGACACCUCCGUCCCAGCAAGUCACGUUGGGCUCCCUUUGAAGUCAACAGAGAAGAACAGCGAAUUUGAGGACAUGCUUCAUCUCCUCCCAAAAUAGAGACUAAAACAGAUUAGCUGACUCAUGCCCUAAAAGACUCCGAUUUUCCCCCACAGAUUACAAAGAGAGCUCACACGGCCACAUUCGGAUUAGUCUGUGCUGAGGCAAUUGAACUUUCCAUCGCUCCAACCCAGCCACGCUCUCUGCACAGGACAUGGAGCAGAGCUUGAGGGAGCGGCUGAGGAAUCCUGUUGAUCAGAUCCCAGUAACGAUGAGUUUCCAACCACCUUGGAGCUUAGAAAUCCUCACGUUGAAAACUUGGCAAUUAACAUGUCACUGGCACCAGCCACGGCCUGAUGUUCAAACAUUCCCCUUUUCCAAGGUAUUUAAAGUCACGAUUGUAUUUUAUAUUCUCCCCUGCAAUUAGCACAUUAAUCAGUCCCUGUAUUUUAAUAUACUACAUGUCACCUUUAAAAGCCCCUGAGGUUGACAGAGUUUUGGGGAAAGGCAGGUUCUUCUCUCUCCAAGAAUCUCCCCCAGCGAUGGCCUUUCUAAAAAUUCCUCUGCCAUUUUCAUUUCAAGUGACAUUUUACUGGAAAGGAUUUGAGCAUAUUCCAUCUCAGCCUGAGUAAGUCUCUGGAUAUUGUUAGUCAAUUAAUAAAAAUGUGAACAGCUUC